CUUCCGGAGCUAACGCGUUAAGUAGACCGCCUGGGGAGUACGGCCGCAAGGUUAAAACUCAAAUGAAUUGACGGGGGCCCGCACAAGCGGUGGAGCAUGUGGUUUAAUUCGAUGCAACGCGAAGAACCUUACCUGGUCUUGACAUCCACAGAACUUUCCAGAGAUGGAUUGGUGCCUUCGGGAACUGUGAGACAGGUGCUGCAUGGCUGUCGUCAGCUCGUGUUGUGAAAUGUUGGGUUAAGUCCCGCAACGAGCGCAACCCUUAUCCUUUGUUGCCAGCGRUUAGGYCGGGAACUCAAAGGAGACUGCCAGUGAUAAACUGGAGGAAGGUGGGGAUGACGUCAAGUCAUCAUGGCCCUUACGACCAGGGCUACACACGUGCUACAAUGGCGCAUACAAAGAGAAGCGACCUCGCGAGAGCAAGCGGACCUCAU
Molecule: ribosomal RNA, 434 nt
Filed under: Salmonella enterica
Lineage: Bacteria; Pseudomonadati; Pseudomonadota; Gammaproteobacteria; Enterobacterales; Enterobacteriaceae
Description: bacterial SSU rRNA
Source: RNAcentral